GAUGAACGCUAGCGGCAGGCUUAACACAUGCAAGUCGAGGGGUAUAGUUCUUCGGAAUUAGAGACCGGCGCACGGGUGCGUAACGCGUAUGCAAUCUACCUUUCACAGAGGGAUAGCCCAGAGAAAUUUGGAUUAAUACCUCAUAGUAUAUCGAGUUGGCAUCAACAUGAUAUUAAAGAUUUAUCGGUGAAAGAUGAGCAUGCGUCCCAUUAGCUAGUUGGUAUGGUAACGGCAUACCAAGGCUACGAUGGGUAGGGGUCCUGAGAGGGAGAUCCCCACACUGGUACUGAGACACGGACCAGACUCCUACGGGAGGCAGCAGUGAGGAAUAUUGGACAAUGGGCGCAAGCCUGAUCCAGCCAUGCCGCGUGCAGGAUGACGGUCCUAUGGAUUGUAAACUGCUUUUAUACGAGAAGAAACACUCCUUCGUGAAGGAGCUUGACGGUAUCGUAAGAAUAAGGAUCGGCUAACUCCGUG
RNAcentral lists this ribosomal RNA (477 nucleotides) under uncultured Flavobacterium sp. Its description in RNAcentral is "bacterial SSU rRNA". It matches the Rfam family "Bacterial small subunit ribosomal RNA", at positions 28 to 507 of the family's 1533-position model. The record is from RNAcentral. Lineage: Bacteria; Pseudomonadati; Bacteroidota; Flavobacteriia; Flavobacteriales; Flavobacteriaceae.